Molecule: ribosomal RNA, 253 nt
Filed under: uncultured bacterium
Lineage: Bacteria
Description: partial 16S ribosomal RNA
Rfam family: Bacterial small subunit ribosomal RNA
Source: RNAcentral
UACGAAGGGGGCUAGCGUUGCUCGGAAUCACUGGGCGUAAAGGGUGCGUAGGCGGUCGGGUAAGUCUGAUGUGAAAUCUCCAAGCUUAACUUGGAAAUGGCAUCGGAUACUAUUCGGCUCGAGGAAUGGAGGGGAGACUGGAAUACUUGGUGUAGCAGUGAAAUGCGUAGAUAUCAAGUGGAACACCAGUGGCGAAGGCGAGUCUCUGGACAUUUCCUGACGCUGAGGCACGAAAGCCAGGGGAGCAAACGGG